CAGUCGCCGCGGUAAUACGUAGGUGGCAAGCGUUGUCCGGAAUUAUUGGGCGUAAAGGGCUCGCAGGCGGUUUCUUAAGUCUGAUGUGAAAGCCCCCGGCUCAACCGGGGAGGGUCAUUGGAAACUGGGAAACUUGAAUGCAGAAGAGGAGAGUGGAAUUCCACGUGUAGCGGUGAAAUGCGUAGAGAUGUGGAGGAACACCAGUGGCGAAGGCGACUCUCUGGUCUGUAACUGACGCUGAGGAGCGAAAGCGUGGGGAGCGAACAGGAUUAGAUACCCCGGUAGUCCCUGUCUCUUAUUC
Molecule: ribosomal RNA, 301 nt
Filed under: uncultured bacterium
Lineage: Bacteria
Description: partial 16S ribosomal RNA
Rfam family: Bacterial small subunit ribosomal RNA
Source: RNAcentral